Molecule: ribosomal RNA, 443 nt
Filed under: uncultured bacterium
Lineage: Bacteria
Description: partial 16S ribosomal RNA
Rfam family: Bacterial small subunit ribosomal RNA
Source: RNAcentral
CCUACGGGAGGCAGCAGUGGGGAAUAUUGGGCAAUGGGCGCAAGCCUGACCCAGCAACGCCGCGUGAAGGAAGAAGGCUUUCGGGUUGUAAACCUCUUUUCUGAGGGACGAAGAAAGUGACGGUACCUCAGGAAUAAGCCACGGCUAACUACGGGCCAGCGGCCGCGGUAAUACGUAGGUGGCAAUCGUUAUCCGGAUUUAUUGGGUGUAAAGGGCGUGUAGGCGGGAAAGCAAGUCAGAUGUGAAAACUCAGGGCUCAACCCUGAGUCUGCAUUUGAAACUGUUUUUCUUGAGUGCUGGAGAGGCAAUCGGAAUUCCGUGUGUAGCGGUGAAAUGCGUAGAUAUACGGAGGAACACCAGUGGCGAAGGCGGAUUGCUGGACAGUAACUGACGCUGAGGCGCGAAAGCGUGGGGAGCAAACAGGAUUAGAUACCCCAGUAGUC